CUUCGGACUAAGGCGAGACAGAGAUGACGUUUGAUGUCUCUUCUGAGAUCUUUGGGGAGGUUGGAAACAAGAUUCUCUUCAUCGACUCCACGCGUCUCCAACCACUUGUACUGGUCGUAUCUUCUGACUCGUUCCCUUAGCUCAGGUGGAAGCAUUCGAUGGUGCAUCCACUGUUCUGAGUCGCGUCUUUUGACUCGCAUUUCUUCUAACCGGAUAGUAAGCGAUUGAAGAUAAGUCUGUCCACAAGAUUUGUCACAGAUCAUUUACAUUGUUUCUCUUCAUAAUAAUUAAAAACAAAACAAGCUCUUGUCUUUUUUAAUUACCUGCAUGUUUCCAAUGAGGAGGGCAAAGAGUAGAAGUCCAGCAAUAGCAAGUACUAUGGAGAAUAUAACCUCUCCAGGGUAUGUGCUAGUUUCAAGCCCUUGCCCAAGCGUGCUGCAAUUUCACAAGACUCUUGAGGUUAAUAAAUAGCGAAAAAGACUAGUUCAAGGCAGGAUGUGAAAAUUUGGAGGCUAAAAAUAUUUAUAACAUUAAAUUAAAAAAAUCAAUAGUAUGGAACUAUAUCUAUGUAUAUAACCUCCAAAAAUUUUGGGAACCAAAGCCAAUGUUUCAUUGGGCUGUGCCAAGAUCCGGUCAUGGAAUCGGUUUAGGCGGCAAAUUGGUCCUAACCGAAUUUUUUUCUUGAAAUCCAAUUUAUACAAGUCAAACCGGUUUAAACCCUUCUAAAUCGGUUUAAACACUUCUAAACCAGUUUAAAUUUGUUAAAUUAAGUAAUAAUGUUAGUACAUAUGCAUAAAUUUUUCUAAUUUCUUUUGUUUGUAUAUUUAGUUUUGAUAAUUCAUCAAAAUAAUUUUAUAAUUAAACCUAAAAACUAAAAUAUCUUAUAUAAAAUGUAAAAUAUAUAGAAAACAAAUCAAUAAUUUGUUAACCGCCUAGUUGCUAGUACCUAUACCUAUAUAACGCCUAGUUACCACUUAGCUAUUUCUUGAACAUACUUUUCGCCAUUACCUAAGAUUUUGUAGUCCCCACCACAAGCAGAAGAAGUACUUUGAGACGAACUUUUUAGAUGAGACAAUGCCAGAGGAGAGAGCUCUCAAGUAGAUCCCAAAAUCAAAGGGAGGCUCUUCGCCUUCAGUGACAUUGACAGGACAACGCAGCUGAAGAAACGGAUCUUUGACAUCGUCCCAAGCAUCAUAACCUUUCAUGUUUUGGUUACCGCAAAACAAAAAGUUUCUAGUACAGUUGUCGUUAUCUUUGCACGCCUUACUCCAGCAAUCGUUAUUGCGUUCUAAGGCAAGCAAAUACCACAACGCUCCAACAAUCUGCAUUUUUACACACAAAAACUCUUUAUGAAAACGUAAGCAAACAAAAGAAACGGUUGUAAUGGGUUUAGUACUUACAUGACUUGCAAGCAUGUAAAGUAGUAAGUAGUAAGCUGCACCAGCCCAAGCGGUUUCGGCGAACACUCCUGCGGUUCUCUUCAGCUCUGAACUUAAAGGAUACAUACGAAGAAACCGCGGAAUGUAUUGGACUAACACGAUGUAUCUAAGUGCUUGUUUUGUUGCCAGAACGUUCGCACCUCUAGAACUGUAGAGGAACCUCCAUACUAUAAUCUGAAAUGAUGUAUGAAGUAAACAUAAACAAAGUAACUGAGAGAAAGGGCCGGCUCAAUAUUUAUUUGGGCUCCUAGGCAAAAAAGUUUUAAUCUCCUAAUAUUUAUGUUUAUUUUAAAUUAAAAUAUAUUUAAAAUUUUUAUCAUCAAUAUUUUUAUAAAAUUUGGAAUGAAAAGGAAUACAUAAAAAAUAUUUUAGGGUCUUUUUUCAACCAAAUUUAGUAAAUAUUCAGAUUUUUCUAUAUAAAAAUAUGUAUAUAUACAAAAUACUGAGUCCCUUAAUUAUCAAGAUACAUGAGGACACGGAUUUGAACUCGGGGCGGGGUGGUUGCACCCUUUGUCUCCCUAUGUUAGCCGGCUUUAGAGUUAUGUUAUGAUGAUGUUGUUAUACCUGUGGAACGGGAAGCACAGAGAGCAAGUCUAUGAUGAAGUACUGUUGCAGAUACCGUUUAGCUAUCUGCGCAGGGUCAAUCACAAGCUCUCCACGACCAAAAACACGCGACGAAGGAGCGACGUAAGCUGUUCUAAACCUCAAAGCCAUGUGAAAGAGAUAAAAAGAAUCUAUAACCGUCCUCAGCGUGGUGGUCACAAUCGCUAGCUUCCGGUCUAUACCAACGCAUUUGGCUUUAUCGUUGAUGAAGGGGAGAAACAAGAAGAGCGGGUCCACGGAUACAGCGAGGAUGCAAGAAGCGACGAAGAGCUUGUUGCAGAGGAGAAGGAACUUGUCUUGCGGAUCAAAGAUCUUCUUCUCGGAAACUUCGAGAUCUUCUGGGAAUACGGCGCGGGAGACACCGAGUCCAGCCUCUCGUCCAUGUUCUCAAACAAUGGAACCUAAAGAAAAUUAAAUUAGAAAAAGACUUUCAAGAAGAUAUGAUAUUAAGACAGGAGGCAAGAGUACAUACUCUUCGGACUAAGGCGAGACAGAGAUGACGUUUGAUGUCUCUUCUGAGAUCUUUGGGGAGGUUGGAAACAAGAUUCUCUUCAUCGACUCCACGCGUCUCCAACCACUUGUACUGGUCGUAUCUUCUGACUCGUUCCCUUAGCUCAGGUGGAAGCAUUCGAUGGUGCAUCCACUGUUCUGAGUCGCGUCUUUUGACUCGCAUUUCUUC
This 2721-nucleotide long non-coding RNA is filed under the name Brassica napus (rape). RNAcentral's name for it is "long non-coding RNA (BNAP_LNC020962)". Lineage: Eukaryota; Viridiplantae; Streptophyta; Magnoliopsida; Brassicales; Brassicaceae. The record is from RNAcentral.